GGCUCUGUGGCGCAAUGGAUAGCGCAUUGGACUUCUAAUUCAAAGUUUGUGGGUUCGAGUCCCACCAGAGUCG
RNAcentral lists this transfer RNA (73 nucleotides) under Xenopus tropicalis (tropical clawed frog). RNAcentral's name for it is "tRNA-Arg (TCT) (tRNA-Arg-TCT-9-1, tRNA-Arg-TCT-9-2)". It matches the Rfam family "tRNA". From Rfam's summary of the family: Transfer RNA (tRNA) molecules are approximately 80 nucleotides in length. Lineage: Eukaryota; Metazoa; Chordata; Amphibia; Anura; Pipidae. The record is from RNAcentral.